This 296-nucleotide ribosomal RNA is filed under the name uncultured bacterium. Its description in RNAcentral is "partial 16S ribosomal RNA". It matches the Rfam family "Bacterial small subunit ribosomal RNA", at positions 28 to 313 of the family's 1533-position model. The record is from RNAcentral.
GACGAACGCUGGCGGCGUGCUUAACACAUGCAAGUGGAGCGACGAACCAGGCUUCGGCCUGGGGCAAAGCCGCGAACGGGUGAGUAACACGUGGGUAACCUGCCCUGAUGACCGGGACAACCCGGAGGAAACUCGGGCUAAUACCGGAUGUGCUCCCAUCACACCAGUGAGUGUGGAGUAAAGAUAGCUUCGGCCUUCGCAUCGGGAUGGGCCCGCGGCGCAUUAGCUUGGUUGGNGGGGUAAAGGCCUACCAAGGCGACGAUGCGUAGCUGGUCUGAGAGGACGAUCAGCCACAC